This 477-nucleotide long non-coding RNA is filed under the name Medicago truncatula (barrel medic). RNAcentral describes it as "long non-coding RNA (MTRU_LNC004447)". The record is from RNAcentral. Lineage: Eukaryota; Viridiplantae; Streptophyta; Magnoliopsida; Fabales; Fabaceae.
UUACCAAAAAACAUUAAAACAAUUAGGAUAGACGAGUCUUCUCACUUAUAUGUUACUUAACAUUUACUCUUAUAUCUAAUAUGAAAUUUCUAACUCACAUUUAAUACUUCAAUACUCAUUCAAUUAAAACAAUAGUAGCAAUACAUGAUGAAAUAUAGUCGAAAUUCUAAAAUUCCAGUGACUAGCAUACAAUCUAAACGUCUAACAAAUCAAGGACACAAUUUGCUUGUCCAUAAAUAAAACGUAUCCACCUUCAAAGCACAUAAUAUAUACCUCGAAAAUGUAGCAUGAGGUCGGAACAAUCUUCUUAUAACAAAUUAAUCCCUAAUAUUUUUCCAACAUCAAAAGCCGCAAAAUUUUAAGUGUCAUCGAUAUUCACACACAUUAACUAUAGAGAAGUUGGAAAUUAGGGUUCAAACCAACAACUCAAACAUAUCAAAUAUCUAUUCAGUCUUUAACUAUCUGAAUUGUAUUUAC